UAGUGAGUUUGAUCCUGGCUCAGGAUGAACGCUAGCGGCAGGCCUAAUACAUGCAAGUCGAACGGGUGGUAGCAAUACCACUAGUGGCGCACGGGUGCGUAACGCGUAACCAACCUGCCCUGAACUGGGGGAUAGCCCGCCGAAAGGCGGAUUAAUACCGCAUAAACCAACAGAACGGCAUCGUUUAAUUGGUAAAGAUUUAUUGGUUCAGGAUGGGGUUGCGUGACAUUAGCUAGUUGGCGGGGUAACGGCCCACCAAGGCGACGAUGUCUAGGGGACCUGAGAGGGUGAUCCCCCACACUGGCACUGAGAUACGGGCCAGACU
RNAcentral lists this ribosomal RNA (325 nucleotides) under uncultured Hymenobacter sp. RNAcentral's name for it is "bacterial SSU rRNA". It matches the Rfam family "Bacterial small subunit ribosomal RNA", at positions 1 to 337 of the family's 1533-position model. The record is from RNAcentral. Lineage: Bacteria; Pseudomonadati; Bacteroidota; Cytophagia; Cytophagales; Hymenobacteraceae.